CCUACGGGGGGCAGCAGUGGGGAAUAUUGCGCAAUGGGCGAAAGCCUGACGCAGCGACGCCGCGUGAGGGAUGAAGGUCUUCGGAUCGUAAAGCUCUGUCAGCAGGGAAGAACGGGCACUGUGCUAAUCAGCAGUGAAUUGACGGUACCUGCAAAGGAAGCACCGGCUAACUCCGGGACAGCGGCCGCGGUAAUACGGAGGGGGCGAGCGUUAGUCGGAAUUACUGGGCGUAAAGCGCUCGUUGGCGGUAUGUCAAGUCAAGGGUGAAAGGCCCGGGAUCAACGUGGGAACUGACUUUGAAACUGGAAAACUGGAGUGUGUGAGAGGAUAGUGGAAUUCCAGGUGUAGGAGUGAAAUCCGUAGAUAUCUGGAGGAACAUCAGUGGCGAAGGCGACUAUCUGGCACAUAACUGACGCUGAGGAGCGAAAGCGUGGGUAGCAAACAGGAUUAGAUACCCGUGUAGUC
This 465-nucleotide ribosomal RNA is filed under the name uncultured bacterium. RNAcentral's name for it is "partial 16S ribosomal RNA". It matches the Rfam family "Bacterial small subunit ribosomal RNA", at positions 338 to 795 of the family's 1533-position model. The record is from RNAcentral.